RNAcentral lists this ribosomal RNA (497 nucleotides) under uncultured bacterium. RNAcentral describes it as "partial 16S ribosomal RNA". It matches the Rfam family "Bacterial small subunit ribosomal RNA", at positions 28 to 507 of the family's 1533-position model. The record is from RNAcentral.
GAUGAACGCUGGCGGCGUGCCUAAUACAUGCAAGUCGAGCGAACAGAUGAGGAGCUUGCUCCUCUGACGUUAGCGGCGGACGGGUGAGUAACACGUGGAUAACCUACCUAUAAGACUGGGAUAACUUCGGGAAACCGGAGCUAAUACCGGAUAAUAUAUUGAACCGCAUGGUUCAAUAGUGAAAGACGGUUUUGCUGUCACUUAUAGAUGGAUCCGCGCCGCAUUAGCUAGUUGGUAAGGUAACGGCUUACCAAGGCGACGAUGCGUAGCCGACCUGAGAGGGUGAUCGGCCACACUGGAACUGAGACACGGUCCAGACUCCUACGGGAGGCAGCAGUAGGGAAUCUUCCGCAAUGGGCGAAAGCCUGACGGAGCAACGCCGCGCGAGUGAUGAAGGUCUUCGGAUCGUAAAACUCUGUUAUUAGGGAAGAACAAAUGUGUAAGUAACUAUGCACGUCUUGACGGUACCUAAUCAGAAAGCCACGGCUAACUACGUG